RNAcentral lists this ribosomal RNA (255 nucleotides) under uncultured bacterium. Its description in RNAcentral is "partial 16S ribosomal RNA". It matches the Rfam family "Bacterial small subunit ribosomal RNA", at positions 524 to 776 of the family's 1533-position model. The record is from RNAcentral.
UACGUAGGAGGCGAGCGUUGUCCGGAAUUACUGGGCGUAAAGAGCGCGUAGGCGGCGCGGUACGACCGCUGUGAAAGCCCCCAGCUCAACUGGGGGAGGGUCAGCGGUAACGGCCGUGCUAUGAGUGCAGGAGAGGGAAGUGGAACUCCGGGAGUAGCGGUGAAAUGCGUAGAGACCCGGAGGAACACCAGUGGCGAAGGCGGCUUCCUGGUCUGCGACUGACGCUGUGGCGCGAAAGCUAGGGGAGCAAACGGG